This is a long non-coding RNA of Numida meleagris (helmeted guineafowl), 4589 nucleotides long. RefSeq lists it as uncharacterized. Lineage: Eukaryota; Metazoa; Chordata; Aves; Galliformes; Numididae. The transcript has 2 exons. The record is from RefSeq and is a predicted model, not a curated record.
UUGUUCUCACUCAGGCCUACACUGCAAACAAUAAUGCAAAGUGAUGUUCAUAAAUGGAGAGACAGUUACUGAGACCUUUACUCAGAUUGGUAACUCAGUCCUCAUACCAAAGAAGUCAAUUUCUGCAAGUGGUGCCAAAUUAUGGCAUCUUCACUGACACCACGGUCAUGGUAAAAUCUCACUCGGUUUCAUGAGAACUUCUUCGAUGAAGAGCCACCAACCACAGCAGAAACCCCACAGUCCAGCAAAGUGAACUGCCGUGACAAAACCAGGUACCAAUGGGAAAAUGCCUCACACUCUUUUCAAUGCCAUUCCCCUACCGAUUGCAGCUUAACUCCGAUUCCUAUUCUGCUUUUAUACAGCGUGUGAUCCUCCUCCAUCCUUCUGCCCCCAGACUGACAGCUGCUCCUCCUGUCCUUGAAGCACGAAAGGAAACAUAUGACUGGCUUGUGGCUCUUCCUCUCCUCAAAGCGAGUGACAAGGUCACAUGGCAGUUGCAUGUUUCCUUUGUUAUCCUUUUGUUUGAAGAUAGAGGAGUUGCACCUGACUGGGACUGCAGAGGCAUUCAAUUAAACAAACGCAUUUUAUUUUAGGAACCGUGUAACAAAGAGGAAACCAUUAGACGAUCUUCUCUUCCUUCAGGCAAGGAAAGCAUUGACAAGUGCUAUAUUUAGUUGUGAACUAUGCAACCUGCAAAAGGAUUUCAUCCAAAAUUAUCAGGAAAUGGAUCCCCCUUCACUUCUAGCAACAUGAACUUCAGGGAAUGCAAGCAGCUCACACAACACUCGAUACUCUUGUUCCUAAAUGCAUUUGUAUUAAAACCAAACUAAACCAGACCAAACCUGGAGGGGAAAAAAAGGGCAUUGUUAGGUAGCAAGUCUUCCUAGACCUAAGUCAUUAUUUGAGAUAUACUUGCUGACCUUGGAAGGCAAGGUAUUGCUCCUGUUUCUCUUAGUGCUGAGAUAGCCUAGGGCCCACAGUAACUGAACUGGACUGGAUGCAGGACUGUGCAUGUGAAAUGGCAUGUUCAAUGGAGCUCAAUCUUCAGGACUUAGCAUUAGCCCCAGUUAUGGCAAGAUACAGCCCUCCUGAGCUGAAGGACCUUGAUGUGUUUAUUAUUGCUUCUGAUGAGUCAUAACACUUUAGAAGGCAACUGGAUUCUCAGAUCUUAAAGCAAGUUUCCAAGGUAGCAUAGUAGAGCUGUAAACUGGGCUAAUUACAGGUAAUUUUUAUUUGUGACAGGAAAAAGAUGUUCACCCAAAUGUAGAGAGAUGGGAGAAUUUCCCUGAGCUACAUGCUUUGCUGCUGAGAAAGCAGAGCUUAGCAGAUGGAGGAAGAAGGAUCUGAUUUCCAACUUAGUCUUCUAUUAAUGUUUUAUGAUUUUAAAUUUAGCAGAGUAGGUCACUUUUCUAUGGUCUUUGCAAGACUUUCCUUUCUGUGGACUGCUAUAAGGAGUUCUGUAAAAAAUAGCUACAUAUCAGACAGCUACAUAUACAGGUUAUCAGAAUUGUCUCUUGUCCAAAAGAACAAGAGAGUCUGGUGCAAACUGCAUGGCAGCAGCCCUUCCUAUCAAACAAGCCUCAACAUCCUCACUCUGUCAAAACAUCCUCUGAGCACUGUGGCUUAGAUUCAGGUCUGGCUGGGUCUGGCUCUUCAAGUACACAUGGGUGAGCGAGAGCAGAGGAUGCAAGUAGUUCUUCCUUUCUUAACCUCUUUCCUGAUGUUAACCAUCUCCUGGCUAAAUGAGUAGGCUCUUGGCAGAGAAGAAAGUGUGAGCCUUUUCUUCCCCAUUCUGCCUAUACUGGAGAUGUAGGCUAUAAGAUAUUACCCAGCACGUUUUUAUGGCAUUCUUAUGGGGAAUGCUCUGGCACCAGCCCAUCAAGGCAUAUUGAUGGCAUCCCAGGAUACCUCCUUAAAGAAAUACAGGAAAGUAAAAUACAUCUCCACCCGCAUUGGCACUGGGGAACAACUGAGAGAUGGAUGCUGAUCCAUUCCGUCCCCCCAAAAAAGUACAGAGUACAUAGAGUGAAUUGCUUUCUGCUACCAUUGACUACUUAGAGAUCUGGCUUGGACUCAGCAACCUGAGAUCUAGGCAGAAAAAAACUGGGCAAAAGGCAUUGCACUCAGAUGACCAAGAUGGGAACAACAGAUGAUUCCUCUCAGGGCAUGUUUCAUUGUAUUCCAGGUGAAAAGUCAGUGUCCCAGGGCUAACUCCUGGAAGCAUCCCUAUCGCCUUUGUACUGCCAACCACCAUACAAGUUGAGGGGCCAUUGGGUAAAGAAUUAGAACGUGCUUACAAGUUACCUUGGUUCUCAUUUACACUGACAUCACUAUAGAGUAACUCUUCCAAUGCCAACAACAACGUCUCUCUCUUUAUGUUGUUGACACUUAGAAAUGAAACUUAGUGACAUGACACUUAGUGAAGGAAACACCGUGAGUCUAGGAACUUCAACGAGCAGUUCCUAAACUGAUGAAAUCCUAGGAGGCAGGAAAACCAAAAAGUAAAUUUCCAUGCAGCUUCCUACAUUCAACAGAUAAGCAACAACCACAACCUGCGUCUAAGAUGACUAAAAUGCACAGCUGGAUGCAUUUUGGCAGAAGAGGGAUGAGACAAUGUAAUGUAUCUACUGCACAUCUACUGCUGUGACUUUCAUAAGAAUUUAUAUCUUGAGACUUCAUUUAGCAAGGCGUUGAAUGUCUACCGCCUUCUGGAAGACACUCCACUAAUUGCAAAAUUAGGCACAGCGUGCGUGGAGGAGGUUGACCUUGCAAAAUUCUUAUUCUGUUUUCGAACAAUUAAGACUAACUUCGUGCCCAGUUUAAACUUCCAGACUUUGAGGCUCCAGAGUCUGGAUUGAAUCCAAGCCCCAGUGAAGUCACCUGGAGAUUUUCCAUUGACUUCACUAUGCUUUGGACCAGGCUCUUGGAAAGGCUAUUCCCAUGAACUCAAAUACCUAAAGCCAAACAUGGCUUAACACAAUUGAAAAAUCACCUACUUUUUAUGUUUUCAAAGGCAGAUCCACUGCUCAGCAGUAACAAUAAAGAAUUGGGUUGAAGGGGUGAAAAUAGAUAUGGAGUGGCUCUUCAAAAAGACUAUGGCAAUGCUCCAACAAUGCAGCACUGAAAACAAGAAUUUUUAAUGCAGAUUUUUUUAAUGAUACUGAAUUAGAUUUAAAGGGAAAGAAUCAUGCCAAUAUACCCAAAUUAGAGCAUUUUUUUUGGUUUUAUGUAUUUGAAUAAUUCUUGCUGUACUCUUUGAGAAAGAAAUAUCUUAUUGCUUAUAGGCAUUCCUUUUGCUGAAUCAGUUGUACUCCCAUUGUAAAGUGGAUUUUUUGAUGCCAGCUUUGGUGAUAUGCUAGAAUAGAUCUAUCCCCAAAACCAGUUUUCAUCAAAUUCAUUGCUAUGCUUCAAAGACAAGCCCGUCACAGGAGCUUUGCCUCUGCUCAAUGGUCUAGUCCCAAAGAGCCAGACUCACCCCUGAGUUCAGGUACGGUAUACACAUACUCGUCUCUUUUGUCCCACCAUCAAUUUUUUGAAAGCACAAUUCUUCUUUGCAAAUAGGUGCUCUUUGCAACAGAAACUCGGACUUUUAUGAAGUGUUUUUAUUACAACAAGCUAAUAUUUCUGUCUUUACAUCUGUUCUUUUGAACAAAGUCAGGUUUGAAUUUUUUCUGCAUUUGUGCAUAAGAUAUGUGACAUGCAUGCCCAGCAGCUUAGAGCAUAGACCCUUCUUUUUCAUGUUAUGUGGUUGUAAAGGGAGGAAAGAAAGCUUACAGAGGCUUUAUAUUGCCUCAUAAGCUUCACAAUCUACUUCUAUUGCUUAUUUCCUGCCCACAUCUAAGUUUUCAAAGGCUCCUCUCUUUGUUAGCGGACUAAUUAUUUUGACUAGUAGGCCAAAGCAUAGAUGCAUAUUGGAUUAGCAAUGCCCAUUAACUGUCCCUCAGCAAGUGGAAGAUUUGAUUCUGAACAGCUUGAUGCUGGUGUAAAGAAAGAGCCAUGUCCUGGAACUAAAUGGUAACUAUGGUACAAAGGAGGAUGAGACCAGAUGCGACCUCUCUUACUGGGAAAAUCAGCUCCUGCUGAUUUAGACAUCCUUGAAAGAAUCACAGAUUAUAGUUGACUUUUAAGCUCCUCAUUGAUUUUGAAGAAGAGCUAUUGGUCAUAGAGAAUGUAAAUGCCGGAGUAGGAAGAAGUGCAAGUGGUGAUGAAUUUGAGGUUCUUAAAUGCAACAAAAUGGCAGAACAGUCUUGUGUACAAAUAGAAUGGGGCACUUUUCUGUUAAACAAGUUGUCAAAAGCACUGCCUCUUAAUGCAGAACAAUAAAAUAAUCUUUUCAAACAGUUUAAUGGCCAGGAUGAAUGAAAGAAUCUGUGUCUGCUUUACAAACGGCCUGAUUACCGCCUGCUCACAUGCUUGUUCUGCAGUUGUAGUACAUUAGAAUUUGAAGUAGGAUGUUGUUAGCAACUCUUUGUGUGGGGUGGAAUUUGAAUCAAAAGCUAUAAAUGACCUGUGACAGCAAAAAUGAAAGUGCAAUUGCUUUCUCACAUGACCUGUUUCUUUUAGUGUCAUUAAACUUAAUCAAUGAUUAA